UUGAACGCUGGCGGCAGGCCUAACACAUGCAAGUCGAGCGGAUGAAGGGAGCUUGCUCCUGGAUUCAGCGGCGGACGGGUGAGUAAUGCCUAGGAAUCUGCCUGGUAGUGGGGGAUAACGUCCGGAAACGGGCGCUAAUACCGCAUACGUCCUGAGGGAGAAAGUGGGGGAUCUUCGGACCUCACGCUAUCAGAUGAGCCUAGGUCGGAUUAGCUAGUUGGUGGGGUGAAGGCCUACCAAGGCGACGAUCCGUAACUG
Molecule: ribosomal RNA, 258 nt
Filed under: uncultured bacterium
Lineage: Bacteria
Description: partial 16S ribosomal RNA
Rfam family: Bacterial small subunit ribosomal RNA
Source: RNAcentral